AUAACAUCCGGAAACGGGUGCUAAUACCGCAUAGUUUUCUUGAUCGCAUGAUCGGGAAAGGAAAGACGGCCUUUGUGCUGUCGCUUAUGGAUGGACCCGCGGCGUAUUAGUUAGUUGGUGAGGUAACGGCUCACCAAGACGAUGAUACGUAGCCGACCUGAGAGGGUGAUCGGCCACAUUGGGACUGAGACACGGCCCAAACUCCUACGGGAGGCAGCAGUAGGGAAUCUUCCGCAAUGGACGAAAGUCUGACGGAGCAACGCCGCGUGAGUGAAGAAGGUUUUCGGGAAUCGUAAAACUCUGUUGUCAGAGAAGAACAAGUUGGAGAGUAACUGCUCCAGCCUUGACGGUAUCUGACCAGAAAGCCACGGCUAACUACGUGCCAGCAGCAGC
RNAcentral lists this ribosomal RNA (393 nucleotides) under uncultured bacterium. RNAcentral describes it as "bacterial SSU rRNA". It matches the Rfam family "Bacterial small subunit ribosomal RNA", at positions 143 to 518 of the family's 1533-position model. The record is from RNAcentral.